Molecule: transfer RNA, 74 nt
Filed under: Candidatus Aenigmatarchaeota archaeon
Lineage: Archaea; Nanobdellati; Candidatus Aenigmatarchaeota
Description: tRNA-Thr
Rfam family: tRNA
About the family: Transfer RNA (tRNA) molecules are approximately 80 nucleotides in length. Their secondary structure includes four short double-helical elements and three loops (D, anti-codon, and T loops).
Source: RNAcentral
GCCUCUGUAGCUCAAUCUGGUAGAGCAUUCGUUUCGUAAACGAAAGGUUAGGGGUUCGAUUCCCUUCAGAGGCU